RNAcentral lists this ribosomal RNA (845 nucleotides) under Acinetobacter sp. EAPC2. RNAcentral describes it as "bacterial SSU rRNA". It matches the Rfam family "Bacterial small subunit ribosomal RNA", at positions 46 to 887 of the family's 1533-position model. The record is from RNAcentral. Lineage: Bacteria; Pseudomonadati; Pseudomonadota; Gammaproteobacteria; Moraxellales; Moraxellaceae.
GCUUACCAUGCAAGUCGAGCGGAGAUGAGGUGCUUGCACCUUAUCUUAGCGGCGGACGGGUGAGUAAUGCUUAGGAAUCUGCCUAUUAGUGGGGGACAACAUUUCGAAAGGAAUGCUAAUACCGCAUACGCCCUACGGGGGAAAGCAGGGGAUCUUCGGACCUUGCGCUAAUAGAUGAGCCUAAGUCGGAUUAGCUAGUUGGUGGGGUAAAGGCCUACCAAGGCGACGAUCUGUAGCGGGUCUGAGAGGAUGAUCCGCCACACUGGGACUGAGACACGGCCCAGACUCCUACGGGAGGCAGCAGUGGGGAAUAUUGGACAAUGGGGGGAACCCUGAUCCAGCCAUGCCGCGUGUGUGAAGAAGGCCUUUUGGUUGUAAAGCACUUUAAGCGAGGAGGAGGAGCUCUAGAUUAAUACUCUAGAUGCUUGGACGUUACUCGCAGAAUAAGCACCGGCUAACUCUGUGCCAGCAGCCGCGGUAAUACAGAGGGUGCAAGCGUUAAUCGGAUUUACUGGGCGUAAAGCGUGCGUAGGUGGUCUUUUAAGUCGGAUGUGAAAUCCCUGAGCUUAACUUAGGAAUUGCAUUCGAUACUGGGAGACUAGAGUAUGGGAGAGGAUGGUAGAAUUCCAGGUGUAGCGGUGAAAUGCGUAGAGAUCUGGAGGAAUACCGAUGGCGAAGGCAGCCAUCUGGCCUAAUACUGACACUGAGGUACGAAAGCAUGGGGAGCAAACAGGAUUAGAUACCCUGGUAGUCCAUGCCGUAAACGAUGUCUACUAGCCGUUGGGGCCUUUGAGGCUUUAGUGGCGCAGCUAACGCGAUAAGUAGACCGCCUGGGGAGUACGGUC